Long non-coding RNA from Octodon degus (degu), 102 nucleotides. RefSeq lists it as uncharacterized. Lineage: Eukaryota; Metazoa; Chordata; Mammalia; Rodentia; Octodontidae. The transcript has 3 exons. The record is from RefSeq and is a predicted model, not a curated record.
CUUUUUCCAUCUAAAUAUGAGGGUGCUUGGUUUGCUUAACAUCUUUAUAAAGGGCAGAAAAACAGACACAGAAUUUCAAUGAGUCAUCUAUCCUGACUGGAG